RNAcentral lists this ribosomal RNA (559 nucleotides) under Staphylococcus aureus. Its description in RNAcentral is "bacterial SSU rRNA". It matches the Rfam family "Bacterial small subunit ribosomal RNA", at positions 253 to 804 of the family's 1533-position model. The record is from RNAcentral. Lineage: Bacteria; Bacillati; Bacillota; Bacilli; Caryophanales; Staphylococcaceae.
UAAGGUAACGGCUUACCAAGGCAACGAUGCAUAGCCGACCUGAGAGGGUGAUCGGCCACACUGGAACUGAGACACGGUCCAGACUCCUACGGGAGGCAGCAGUAGGGAAUCUUCCGCAAUGGGCGAAAGCCUGACGGAGCAACGCCGCGUGAGUGAUGAAGGUCUUCGGAUCGUAAAACUCUGUUAUUAGGGAAGAACAUAUGUGUAAGUAACUGUGCACAUCUUGACGGUACCUAAUCAGAAAGCCACGGCUAACUACGUGCCAGCAGCCGCGGUAAUACGUAGGUGGCAAGCGUUAUCCGGAAUUAUUGGGCGUAAAGCGCGCGUAGGCGGUUUUUUAAGUCUGAUGUGAAAGCCCACGGCUCAACCGUGGAGGGUCAUUGGAAACUGGAAAACUUGAGUGCAGAAGAGGAAAGUGGAAUUCCAUGUGUAGCGGUGAAAUGCGCAGAGAUAUGGAGGAACACCAGUGGCGAAGGCGACUUUCUGGUCUGUAACUGACGCUGAUGUGCGAAAGCGUGGGGAUCAAACAGGAUUAGAUACCCUGGUAGUCCACGCCGUA